RNAcentral lists this long non-coding RNA (971 nucleotides) under Mus pahari (shrew mouse). RNAcentral's name for it is "lncRNA (MGP_PahariEiJ_G0002802.1)". The record is from RNAcentral. Lineage: Eukaryota; Metazoa; Chordata; Mammalia; Rodentia; Muridae.
GUCUGCUUCCCAACCAUCAGUUGACCCAAGGUGCAGGCCUCUGCAGCCCCAGCUUGAGUCACCCAACUGGCCCUGCCCAGGACGGAUCCAUCCUCAGGAAUGGUUCUGAUGACAGAAGACUGUCCAGGAAGGCUGGCUCACCCCAGCUCCCCCUACCUGCUCCUCAGCUCAUGUGUGUACGACCUGGUGACUGGGGUGGGGUCUCUCACCGGCGGGCUGUGGCGGCCCUUGAGGCAGGUCCAGCUCUGGUGGGUGGCUGCUCCGCGUGAUGAUGACCGGCUCUUCCAUCACGUUGAUGCUGUUACACUGCAUGAGGUCCUGCAGCAGGUUGAAGAUGUCCUCUGCCCUCGAGCACUUGAAUGCAAAGAUGCCUGGGGAAGCUCCAGUACAGGGUAACUGAAGUUUGUAUAAACAGAAUGAAAAAGACAGCACAAUAUGUAAAAGCUGGACAGGACCAGAAGGACAGAAGUGGUGAUAUGUGGCUGUAACCUCACACUUGGGAGGGAUGAGGUGCAUGCCGGGAAAAGGCCCUUCAGCAAUCAACCCAGAACACGCAUUGCUUUGUGUUGUCUCGGGAGAGACAGCUCUGUCUGCGGCAGCACAAUCCCAAGGACUCCUGUGCUGAGCAUGUGUGGGCCUGAGAAGCAAGGCCAGACCUCAUGUCCCAACCUCAAGCUCGUGAGCAGCCAGCCUGCCAGCCCCUGAACCCUGGCCACAGAGGGCACAUGGGCAGGGGAUACAGCAUACUCCACUGCCCACAGGUGAAGGUGGACCAAGGUCAGGCUCUGGAAGGUUACGCUGUAUAUGAGAGGCCCAAGAGCCUGCUGCCCAAAUCUCUAUGCAAGCUCCUCGGCCCUGAGUAGCCAGUCUCCUGCCUGACUUCUCUUCCACUGUGCACAGAGCCCAGUGUGUAGGCCUGGCAGCUCAGGAGUUUUGCUAUGCAAAGGCAAUAAGGACCCUGAAACCAUGGC